This is a long non-coding RNA of Sardina pilchardus (European sardine), 2003 nucleotides long. RefSeq lists it as uncharacterized. The transcript is spliced from 3 exons. The record is from RefSeq and is a predicted model, not a curated record. NCBI's taxonomy places the organism in Eukaryota, Metazoa, Chordata, Actinopteri, Clupeiformes, Clupeidae.
CUGAAUUUUUGGUCAACGAUUCCCGGGACACCGUAACACCGGGGCACAUGAAACUUGGUGGGCAUGUAGCCCCAGUAGACUUUUACGGAAAAAUUUCGUUUCGUCCCCGGGGGUCACUCCCCCCCCGCGCUGGCCCCGCCCGAAGCCCAAAAAUUGCAGUUUUUCCUACAUAACUACCUGAACCGUGGCACCGAGGAUGACAAAUUUUUUAUGGUAUGUUGGUCUCAAGAGCUCGGAUCAACUUAGCUUAUAACCAGUCAUUUGUGAAUUGCACCCCCAUGGUAAAAAUUGAAAAUGUAAUGUAAUAUUGCUUUAAUUGCCCCUAUCUUCAGAUGAGAUGCUAUGAACUGCACCAAAUUUCAUGUGUAUGAUUAACCUGACACCCUCUGGGAGUAUGCCAAGUUUUGUGGACUUUCAUCCAUGGGGGGCUAUAAUAAAUGUAUUUAUGUGUGCAUUUAGUGAAUGGUCCCUCAACGUGGCUGCUCUACACUGAAGCCUAGAAUGGCCCCAUGGCCCCAUGUAGCUGUGUCACUGGCACCCCCGUGGCUACCCUGUGCUUACCAAAUAAAACAAUUAUGUAUUUAUUACGAUUUUAUAUGAGAACGUCAAAAGCAGAACUAAUGCAACCACGUUCAAACACUGCAGCCUGCUGCCACUGGUGUGUGGCGCUGGCGCUGCUCAGUGAAUGAUAGAUCAGACCAGAGAGAAGAAGACAAACGAAGAAGAUGGAGUUGUGAUUUCUCAGUUCCGAAUGGCGGCCAUAUUGGAAUUUUCUUUACUGUCGCUAGUUUCACACUACUUGAUUUCUCAUGUUGCAGUAAGCUAAACGAUUUCAUCUCUUACGUGACUUGUUGUUCUUGCAGGUAACUGUGUAACCGUCUGACUGAUAAAGAAGUUGUUAAAUGUCUUUACGUUUAGAAACAUAAUCAAAAAAAAUUCAUCCAAGCAGAUGCGAAUAGCCUACAAUGUCAGUACUCAAACCACCAGUAGCAGGCUUAGGACUAGAGUUUGCCAGUCAGACCACUACACCUUUGCCAGCACCACCACCCAGCAAGCUUCAUCAACUCCAGCCAUGCCGAGUUUACCAAUCAGACCUACACCUCUGUCAAAUUCGCUCACAACGCUGCCAGUAACACCCCAGCAAGGUAGAACUGCAUUUUCAUUAAUCUGGCACCAAUAUCAAGGGAGAAACAAGCCAUGAAUGUCUGUCACAACUUCUUUGCAUCUUUACUUUCCUUACAUCUGAAGAGUGUGUUACAUAUAUCAUUAUUAAAAAUAAUUUUAAUAAAUUGUUUAAGCAUGUACAAUAAAUAAAGCAUGUAAAUGAGCAUGUAAAAUAAAUAAACAAAAGCAAGUAAAAUAAAUAAAUAAACAAAAUGUAUUGAACCUAAUAGGCUACUAUGUGUGGUGAGUCUGUGUGAUAGUUGCUGAGGAUAAAUGUUUUUAUAUUGGAUUAUUAAAUUACAGAAUACAUUUAUAGGUUUCUCAUCAGCAGGCACUGUCUUCACCUUAGUAAAUUUGGUAACUUUGGUAAGUCCUGUAAAUAAUUGUAAAUUGUUCUGAUUGAGGGCAAAUGGAAAGUGUUAUAAUGUAUUAUUGCUAUUUUAGUGCAUCAUUUUCAUUAUUAUGGCCAUAAAUAAGGCCAAUUAGAAGCUGGUGGGUAGUAAGCGGCAAAAGGGUGGCCCUUUAUCUGGAGCCGCUUCUGAGCCGCCGCUGGACAGCCAGAGAACUGAUGAGCAAAACUCCAGCGGGCCACUGGUGGUUACCGCCGUUGGACCGCCAACUCUGCCGCUGGUUUGUAACAGUAACUUUAGCAUUGCCCAUUAAAUGAUUGCAAAAUAUUUAUUGAGGUGAGUUUAACAAGUGUAAUUUCAUUGGCAUAUAAUUCAGGCCUAUAGUAGAUGGCUAAAUGGCUACAGUAGAAGGAUACACGAAAAGCCCAAACUACCAAAAUCUUCAUAUUUUAUUACCACAGUUUCUAUCUAUAGGCCUCUCUUAUUUGG